This 449-nucleotide ribosomal RNA is filed under the name uncultured bacterium. RNAcentral's name for it is "partial 16S ribosomal RNA". It matches the Rfam family "Bacterial small subunit ribosomal RNA", at positions 29 to 523 of the family's 1533-position model. The record is from RNAcentral.
AACGAACGCUGGCGGCAUGCCUAACACAUGCAAGUCGAACGAGACCUUCGGGUCUAGUGGCGCACGGGUGCGUAACGCGUGGGAAUCUGCCCUUGGGUCCGGAACAACAGUUAGAAAUGACUGCUAAUACCGGAUGAUGACUUCGGUCCAAAGAUUUAUCGCCCAGGGAUGAGCCCGCGUCGGAUUAGCUAGUUGGUGAGGUAAAGGCUCACCAAGGCGACGAUCCGUAGCUGGUCUGAGAGGAUGAUCAGCCACACUGGGACUGAGACACGGCCCAGACUCCUACGGGAGGCAGCAGUGGGGAAUAUUGGACAAUGGGCGAAAGCCUGAUCCAGCAAUGCCGCGUGAGUGAUGAAGGCCUUAGGGUUGUAAAGCUCUUUUACCCGGGAUGAUAAUGACAGUACCGGGAGAAUAAGCCCCGGCUAACUCCGUGCCAGCCGCCGCCGUAA